This 429-nucleotide ribosomal RNA is filed under the name Actinomycetes bacterium. RNAcentral describes it as "Actinobacteria bacterium partial 16S ribosomal RNA". It matches the Rfam family "Bacterial small subunit ribosomal RNA", at positions 355 to 776 of the family's 1533-position model. The record is from RNAcentral. Lineage: Bacteria; Bacillati; Actinomycetota; Actinomycetes.
UAGGGAAUCUUCCGCAAUGGGCGAAAGCCUGACGGAGCAACGCCGCGUGAGUGAUGAAGGUCUUCGGAUCGUAAAGCUCUGUUAUUAGGGAAGAACAAAUGUGUAAGUAACUAUGCACGUCUUGACGGUACCUAAUCAGAAAGCCACGGCUAACUACGUGCCAGCAGCCGCGGUAAUACGUAGGUGGCAAGCGUUAUCCGGAAUUAUUGGGCGUAAAGCGCGCGUAGGCGGUUUUUUAAGUCUGAUGUGAAAGCCCACGGCUCAACCGUGGAGGGUCAUUGGAAACUGGAAAACUUGAGUGCAGAAGAGGAAAGUGGAAUUCCAUGUGUAGCGGUGAAAUGCGCAGAGAUAUGGAGGAACACCAGUGGCGAAGGCGACUUUCUGGUCUGUAACUGACGCUGAUGUGCGAAAGCGUGGGGAUCAAACAGG